RNAcentral lists this long non-coding RNA (487 nucleotides) under Lathyrus oleraceus (garden pea). RNAcentral's name for it is "Pisum sativum (pea) long non-coding RNA (PSAT_LNC035295)". The record is from RNAcentral. Lineage: Eukaryota; Viridiplantae; Streptophyta; Magnoliopsida; Fabales; Fabaceae.
AUGUUGCCCCAGCACACCCUAUUGAAUUUUCUAACACGGUCAAAUACAUGAUUAGAGGUCUUCCUUCAACUGGUAGCAUUAGAAUUGGAGGUUCUUGGAGAUACUUCUUGAUUUUGUCAUUCAUCAUUCCAUACCAUCUCUUGAUUUUUCUUUUUUGGUAAUUUGAAGAUGGGUUUGCAGGUAGCAGUCAAAUGUGGGAUGAAUCGGGCAAUGUAAUUCGAGUGCCCCAAGAAACCUCUGACUUCUUUCUUGUCUAUUUCAGUACCCAUUGCAAUUUCAAUUGAUUCCUCCUGCGGCUGUAUGGUCUUUUCUUCUUGUAGUAACAGUCUGACAAGUUCACCAGGGACUUCACAAUCUUCCUCGCUUCCAUCCUCGGCUUGGUAGAUCGGAUUUUCAAAGUCAUAAUGAACAGUAGCAGAACUAUUAUCAACAGGAUCCAGAGUGGAUAUGGAUCGGAAAACUGUUACGUGCGUGUGUGCAAGAAAAC